GAUGAACGCUGGCGGCGUGCCUAAUACAUGCAAGUCGAGCGAACAGACGAGGAGCUUGCUCCUCUGACGUUAGCGGCGGACGGGUGAGUAACACGUGGAUAACCUACCUAUAAGACUGGGAUAACUUCGGGAAACCGGAGCUAAUACCGGAUAAUCUAUUGAACCGCAUGGUUCAAUAGUGAAAGACGGUUUUGCUGUCACUUAUAGAUGGAUCCGCGCCGCAUUAGCUAGUUGGUAAGGUAACGGCUUACCAAGGCAACGAUGCGUAGCCGACCUGAGAGGGUGAUCGGCCACACUGGAAGUGAGACACGGUCCAGACUCCUACGGGAGGCAGCAGAAGGGAAUCUUCCGCAAUGGGCGAAAGCCUGACGGAGCAACGCCGCGUGAGUGAUGAAGGUCUUCGGAUCGUAAAACUCUGUUAUUAGGGAAGAACAAAUGUGUAAGUAACUAUGCACGUCUUGACGGUACCUAAUCAGAAAGCCACGGCUAACUACGUG
Molecule: ribosomal RNA, 497 nt
Filed under: uncultured bacterium
Lineage: Bacteria
Description: partial 16S ribosomal RNA
Rfam family: Bacterial small subunit ribosomal RNA
Source: RNAcentral